CUACUUCCGGCUAUUGCCCCUUUAGCUCAGCGACGAGUGAAGCGGCAAGAGCUCAGAUUUGAAAUCGUGUUUCGGCACGAGUUGUAGAGUGUAGGCGGGAGUCUCUGUGGAGCGCGGUGUCCAAGUCCCUUGGAACAGGGUGCCUGAGAGGGUGAGAGCCCCGUAGGGUGCUGCGCGAAGCUUUUGAGGCCCUGCUGACGAGUCGAGUUGUUUGGGAAUGCAGCUCCAAGCGGGUGGUAAAUUCCAUCUAAGGCUAAAUAUUGGCGAGAGACCGAUAGCGAACAAGUACUGUGAAGGAAAGAUGAAAAGCACUUUGAAAAGAGAGUGAAACAGCACGUGAAAUUGUUGAAAGGGAAGGGUAUUGGGCUCGACAUGGGGGGUGCGCACCGCUGUCUCUUGUAGGCGGCGCUCUGGGCGCCCUCUGGGCCAGCAUCGGUUCCUGCUGCGGGAGAAGGGGCUCCGGAAAGUGGCUCUUCGGAGUGUUAUAGCCGGGGCCAGAUGCCGCGUGUGGGGACCGAGGACUGCGGCUUCUGUCUCGGAUGCUGGCAUAACGGCGCAAUACCGCCCGUCUUGAAAACACGGACC
Molecule: ribosomal RNA, 585 nt
Filed under: Pichia manshurica
Lineage: Eukaryota; Fungi; Ascomycota; Pichiomycetes; Pichiales; Pichiaceae
Description: eukaryotic LSU rRNA
Rfam family: Eukaryotic large subunit ribosomal RNA
Source: RNAcentral